GGGGGUGGAAGGGUCCCGGUGGGCUUCGCGGUCUUCAAAACCGUUGCACGGCCGCUAGCGCGGUCGUGGGUGGGUUCGACUCCCAUGCACCUCCG
This 95-nucleotide transfer RNA is filed under the name Actinomycetota bacterium. Its description in RNAcentral is "tRNA-Sec". It matches the Rfam family "Selenocysteine transfer RNA". Lineage: Bacteria; Bacillati; Actinomycetota. The record is from RNAcentral.